CCUACGGGUGGCAGCAGUGAGGAAUAUUGGUCAAUGGGCGCGAGCCUGAACCAGCCAAGUCGCGUGAGGGAAGACGGUCCUAUGGAUUGUAAACCUCUUUUGUCGGGGAGCAAAAGACGCCACGCGUGGCGUUCCGAGAGUACCCGAAGAAAAAGCAUCGGCUAACUCCGUGCCAGCAGCCGCGGUAAUACGGAGGAUGCGAGCGUUAUCCGGAGUUAUUGGGUUUAAAGGGUGCGCAGGCGGAAGAUCAAGUCAGCGGUAAAAUUGAGAGGCUCAACCUCUUCGAGCCGUUGAAACUGGUGUUCUUGAGUGAGUGAGAAGUAGGCGGAAUGCGUGGUGUAGCGGUGAAAUGCAUAGAUAUCACGCAGAACUCCGAUUGCGAAGGCAGCAUACCGGCGCUCAACUGACGCUCAUGCACGAAAGUGUGGGUAUCGAACAGGAUUAGAUACCCCGGUAGUC
Molecule: ribosomal RNA, 459 nt
Filed under: uncultured bacterium
Lineage: Bacteria
Description: partial 16S ribosomal RNA
Rfam family: Bacterial small subunit ribosomal RNA
Source: RNAcentral